RNAcentral lists this ribosomal RNA (460 nucleotides) under uncultured bacterium. RNAcentral's name for it is "partial 16S ribosomal RNA". It matches the Rfam family "Bacterial small subunit ribosomal RNA", at positions 338 to 795 of the family's 1533-position model. The record is from RNAcentral.
CCUACGGGUGGCAGCAGUGAGGAAUAUUGGUCAAUGGACGAGAGUCUGAACCAGCCAAGUAGCGUGAAGGAUGACUGCCCUAUGGGUUGUAAACUUCUUUUAUAUGGGAAUAAAAUGUUCCACGUGUGGGAUUUUGUAUGUACCAUAUGAAUAAGGAUCGGCUAACUCCGUGCCAGCAGCCGCGGUAAUACGGAGGAUCCGAGCGUUAUCCGGAUUUAUUGGGUUUAAAGGGAGCGUAGGGGGAUUGUUAAGUCAGUUGUGAAAGUUUGCGGCUCAACCGUAAAAUUGCAGUUGAAACUGGCAGUCUUGAGUACAGUAGAGGUGGGCGGAAUUCGUGGUGUAGCGGUGAAAUGCUUAGAUAUCACGAAGAAUUCCGAUUGCGAAGGCAGUUCACUGGACUGCAACUGACACUGAGGCUCGAAAGUGUGGGUAUCAAACAGGAUUAGAUACCCCAGUAGUC